AUUGAACGCUGGCGGCAGGCCUAACACAUGCAAGUCGAGCGGAUGAAGGGAGCUUGCUCCUGGAUUCAGCGGCGGACGGGUGAGUAAUGCCUAGGAAUCUGCCUGGUAGUGGGGGAUAACGUCCGGAAACGGGCGCUAAUACCGCAUACGUCCUGAGGGAGAAAGUGGGGGAUCUUCGGACCUCACGCUAUCAGAUGAGCCUAGGUCGGAUUAGCUAGUUGGUGGGGUAAAGGCCUACCAAGGCGACGAUACGUAACUGGUCUGAGAGGAUGAUCUGUCACAAUGGAACUGAGACAAGGUCCAGGCUCCUACGGGAGGCAGGAGUGGGGAAUAUUGGACAAGGGGCGAAAGCCUGAUCCAGCCAUGCCGCGUGUGUGAAGAAGGUCUUCGGAUUGUAAAGCACUUUAAGUUGGGAGGAAGGGCAGUAAGUUAAUACCUUGUUGUUUUGACGUUACCAACAGAAUAAGCACCGGCUAACUUCGUG
Molecule: ribosomal RNA, 484 nt
Filed under: uncultured bacterium
Lineage: Bacteria
Description: partial 16S ribosomal RNA
Rfam family: Bacterial small subunit ribosomal RNA
Source: RNAcentral